RNAcentral lists this non-coding RNA (86 nucleotides) under Salimicrobium album. RNAcentral describes it as "GEMM cis-regulatory element". It matches the Rfam family "c-di-GMP-I riboswitch aptamer". From Rfam's summary of the family: GEMM was predicted in a large-scale screen for bacterial structured RNA regulatory elements. Lineage: Bacteria; Bacillati; Bacillota; Bacilli; Caryophanales; Bacillaceae. The record is from RNAcentral. RNAcentral also lists the same sequence under 2 other names.
UUAACGAAAAGGCAAACCUUAUGAAAAUAAGGGACGCAAAGCCAUGGGUCUAAGGGAGAAUCAUCCUAAGACAGCCGGUUAUCGAA